CAUUGCCUUUUGUAAGGCUCUUAUUCCAAUGAGGCCGAUGGACAGGGUCCUACAAGGAAGCAGGCAUGGAAUCUGGAUGGCUCUUGGCUCCCUCCCUCUCUUCCUUGCUGGAUGAAAGACACCCAGCCCCCGUUCUCAAUGGACAGCAGUCCCUUCUGCUGGCAAACACACUCCGGCUUCUCACUGCAGCUCUAGGCCAAGCAAAUGAUUCUUAUUUUACCGAUACGAGAGAUGGGUGCCCGUGACUGCCGGAGGGCACACAGCUGGUCGGCCGGCCUCUGUUGACCGUGACACAGCUGUAUUCACUCUUUUUGCCCCUCCCAUUCUUCACGGGGUGUUCCUUGCUGAGUUUCAAAGAGGCUCAUGGGACAUAAUCUAAACACAGCCCUGGACACCCUGAUCCCCCGCCCUCACCUCCUGACCUGUCAAGCCUGUAGCUUCAUAUUCAUGAGAUGAAGCAGAGCAAGUUAAGGCUGCUUAUCCUCAAGUGGGAGCCGCCGAGUCCCUGGGUCCUGGGGUGUGAUCAUCGCUUGUGUUUCCUGUGGAGAAGAGACCAUGGCUCACUCUUGCAUUGAAGAGAGCCUGCUCUCUAACUGAAUCCAGAGCUCACUGAUUGGCUGGCCAGUGAGCUCUGAGGAGCUACCGCUCUGCCUCUGCCCUCCAAUGUCAGGUUACAGAAGAUGUGCAGCCAUGCCUGGCUUUUCAUGGAGGUUCUCAGAGGCUGAACACAGGUCCUCCUGCUUGCAUGGAAGGCACAUCACCCGACGAGCCAUCUCCUCAGCCCCUGGUGUGAUGUUUUGGUCUUUCAGUGGACAUUAAUAGCAACCGAGGCUCAAGUGAGAGAAAGGAGAUUCACAACCAAAGAGUACCAUGAGAAGAGCAGCAUUGAUGAUGAUUUUCCAUCGUCCGAGGAAAAGUCCCCCUGCAGGCUCUGAGCUACCUGCAACAAGGCUCUGCCCAUUCUGCCCUGUUCUGCUCAUCGCUUUCCAGCCCUUGGGACAGCAUCUGGCUCAGAGGUGUGCUCAACAAAGAGGGAGAUGUUCCCUCAAGAAGACCCGAGGUCGUUUCAAGGAAAACUCUUCCUGGAAUCUGCCCCUCAGGGAUGGGGAGGGACUUGUUUUCACCAAGUGGACCCCAGUGCUGUCCCUGGGGACUUAAAGAAGCAAUCUUACCACCUGUUUGGGGUUUAGUGAACACCAUGCUGAAAAUUAAUUUUUUUUUUUUUGAGACAGGGUCUCACUAUGUAGCCCAGGCUGUCUUGAAGCUCCCCUAGCUCUAUUGAACUCUGCUGGAAUUA
This is a long non-coding RNA of Meriones unguiculatus (Mongolian gerbil), 1297 nucleotides long. RefSeq lists it as uncharacterized. The record is from RefSeq and is a predicted model, not a curated record. The transcript is spliced from 4 exons. NCBI's taxonomy places the organism in Eukaryota, Metazoa, Chordata, Mammalia, Rodentia, Muridae.